GGUGUCAUGGUGUAGUUGGUUAGCACGCCAGUUUAACACGCUGAAGAUCUCCAGUUCAAAUCCGGGCGAUGCUA
Molecule: non-coding RNA, 74 nt
Organism: Hordeum vulgare subsp. vulgare (domesticated barley)
Lineage: Eukaryota; Viridiplantae; Streptophyta; Magnoliopsida; Poales; Poaceae
Source: Rfam